Molecule: ribosomal RNA, 392 nt
Filed under: uncultured bacterium
Lineage: Bacteria
Description: partial 16S ribosomal RNA
Rfam family: Bacterial small subunit ribosomal RNA
Source: RNAcentral
AUACGGAGGAUCCGAGCGUUAUCCGGAUUUAUUGGGUUUAAAGGGUGCGCAGGCGGCCAUUUAAGUCAGCGGUUAAAUCGUGGGGCUCAACCCCAUUCUGCCGUUGAUACUGGGUGGCUUGAUUGCGGUCGAGGUUGGCGGAAUUCGUUGUGUAGCGGUGAAAUGCAUAGAUAUGACGAAGAACACCGAUUGCGUAGGCAGCUGACCAGACCGCAAAUGACGCUCAUGCACGAAAGUGCGGGGAUCGAACAGGAUUAGAUACCCUGGUAGUCCGCACAGUAAACGAUGAAUACUUGUUUUCGGCGAUAUAAUGUCGGAGGCAAAGCGAAAGCGAUAAGUAUUCCACCUUGGGAGUACGCCGGCAACGGUGAAACUCAAAGGAAUUGACGGGG